Long non-coding RNA from Pollicipes pollicipes, 559 nucleotides. RefSeq lists it as uncharacterized. The record is from RefSeq and is a predicted model, not a curated record. NCBI's taxonomy places the organism in Eukaryota, Metazoa, Arthropoda, Thecostraca, Pollicipedomorpha, Pollicipedidae. The transcript has 2 exons.
UUUUGCCAUGUACCGCCGCAAGCCUAGUGCUAAAUUAUCUCAGUUGUUGGGAGGUGGACUCGAUCCCCGAAACCCUCCUCCAAAUAAAGCCAUCGUUCCCCCGCCCAUGUUUGGUCACAUCGUCCCCGCCCUGGCAUCCUGGUUGUUAUGGUGGCGGCUGGCGGCGAGGGGUCCGUUUGGGGGUCCGUUUGGUCCGUUCCGGUGCCCGGUUCAGGAAGGGCGGCUGCAUUGCCCAGAAAGGUUGGCGCGUGGGGAGGACGGCUACUGGAAAUGUUUUCGUUCGCGUGCUGGGUGCAUCGAGGCCAUUCUGCGCAGCACACCGCGCUACGGUGUCUUCCGCAACAAAACUGAAUAGGUACCAGGAAAAUGGUGUCGGCGGGAGAGACUGCGACGACGACAGGAAGCACCGCGCUGACAACGGCGGUAGCGACGGCGCAUAGCAUCCGUUGAAUGGUUUAGUAAUUAUCUCAUCGGUCAUGAUAGCAGAAAAGUGUAUGUUUUGUGCAAUGGUGCUUUUGCCGAGACAAUUUUGGUCAAAUACAUGGCGAACAAACCCUGA